GCAGUAGCCGCGGUAAAACGUAGGUGGCAAGCGUUGUCCGGAAUUAUUGGGCGUAAAGGGCUCGCAGGCGGUUUCUUAAGUCUGAUGUGAAAGCCCCCGGCUCAACCGGGGAGGGUCAUUGGAAACUGGGAAACUUGAGUGCAGAAGAGGAGAGUGGAAUUCCACGUGUAGCGGUGGAAUGCGUAGAGAUGUGGAGGAACACCAGUGGCGAAGGCGACUCUCUGGUCUGUAACUGACGCUGAGGAGCGAAAGCGUGGGGAGCGAACAGGAUUAGAUACCCCCGUAGUCCCUGUCUCUUAUAC
This 302-nucleotide ribosomal RNA is filed under the name uncultured bacterium. RNAcentral's name for it is "partial 16S ribosomal RNA". It matches the Rfam family "Bacterial small subunit ribosomal RNA", at positions 508 to 807 of the family's 1533-position model. The record is from RNAcentral.